GAUGAACGCUGGCGGCGUGCCUAAUACAUGCAAGUCGAGCGAACAGACGAGGAGCUUGCUCCUCUGACGUUAGCGGCGGACGGGUGAGUAACACGUGGAUAACCUACCUAUAAGACUGGGAUAACUUCGGGAAACCGGAGCUAAUACCGGAUAAUAUAUUGAACCGCAUGGUUCAAUAGUGAAAGACGGUUUUGCUGUCACUUAUAGGUGGAUCCGCGCCGCAUUAGCUAGUUGGUAAGGUAACGGCUUACCAAGGCAACGAUGCGUAGCCGACCUGAGAGGGUGAUCGGCCACACUGGAACUGAGACACGGUCCAGACUCCUACGGGAGGCAGCAGUAGGGAAUCUUCCGCAAUGGGCGAAAGCCUGACGGAGCAACGCCGCGUGAGUGAUGAAGGUCUUCGGAUCGUAAAACUCUGUUAUUAGGGAAUAACAAAUGUGUAAGUAACUAUGCACGUCUUGACGGUACCUAAUCAGAAAGCCACGGCUAACUACGUG
This 497-nucleotide ribosomal RNA is filed under the name uncultured bacterium. RNAcentral's name for it is "partial 16S ribosomal RNA". It matches the Rfam family "Bacterial small subunit ribosomal RNA", at positions 28 to 507 of the family's 1533-position model. The record is from RNAcentral.